GAUGAACGCUGGCGGCGUGCCUAAUACAUGCAAGUCGAGCGAACAGACGAGGAGCUUGCUCCUCUGACGUUAGCGGCGGACGGGUGAGUAACACGUGGAUAACCUACCUAUAAGACUGGGAUAACUUCGGGAAACCGGAGCUAAUACCGGAUAAUAUAUUGAACCGCAUGGUUCAAUAGUGAAUGACGGUUUUGCUGUCACUUAUAGAUGGAUCCGCGCCGCAUUAGCUAGUUGGUAAGGUAACGGCUUACCAAGGCAACGAUGCGUAGCCGACCUGAGAGGAUGAUCAGCCACACUGGAACUGAGACACGGUCCAGACUCCUACGGGAGGCAGCAGUAGGGAAUCUUGCGCAAUGGGCGAAAGCUUGACGGAGCAACGCCGCGUGAGUGAUGAAGGUCUUCGGAUCGUAAAACUCUGUUAUUAGGGAAGAACAAAUGUGUAAGUAACUAUGCACGUCUUGACGGUACCUAAUCAGAAAGCCACGGCUAACUACGUG
RNAcentral lists this ribosomal RNA (497 nucleotides) under uncultured bacterium. Its description in RNAcentral is "partial 16S ribosomal RNA". It matches the Rfam family "Bacterial small subunit ribosomal RNA", at positions 28 to 507 of the family's 1533-position model. The record is from RNAcentral.